CGUAGAUGGCAAGCGUUGUCCGGAUUUAUUGGGCGUAAAGCGAGCGCAGGCGGUUCUUUAAGUCUGAUGUGAAAGCCCCUGGCUCAACCAGGGAGGGUCAUUGGAAACUGGAGAACUUGAGUGCAGAAGAGGAAAGUGGAAUUCCAUGUGUAGCGGUGAAAUGCGUAGAUAUAUGGAGGAACACCAGUGGCGAAGGCGACUUUCUGGUCUGUAACUGACGCUGAGGCUCGAAAGCAUGGGAGCAAACAGGAUU
This 253-nucleotide ribosomal RNA is filed under the name uncultured bacterium. RNAcentral describes it as "partial 16S ribosomal RNA". It matches the Rfam family "Bacterial small subunit ribosomal RNA", at positions 526 to 779 of the family's 1533-position model. The record is from RNAcentral.